Molecule: ribosomal RNA, 480 nt
Filed under: cf. Fusarium sp. LP-E1/3
Lineage: Eukaryota; Fungi; Ascomycota; Sordariomycetes; Hypocreales; Nectriaceae
Description: SSU rRNA
Rfam family: Eukaryotic small subunit ribosomal RNA
Source: RNAcentral
ACUGCGAAUGGCUCAUUAUAUAAGUUAUCGUUUAUUUGAUAGUACCUUACUACUUGGAUAACCGUGGUAAUUCUAGAGCUAAUACAUGCUAAAAAUCCCGACUUCGGAAGGGAUGUAUUUAUUAGAUUAAAAACCAAUGCCCUUCGGGGCUCACUGGUGAUUCAUGAUAACUCCUCGAAUCGCAUGGCCUUGUGCCGGCGAUGGUUCAUUCAAAUUUCUUCCCUAUCAACUUUCGAUGUUUGGGUAUUGGCCAAACAUGGUUGCAACGGGUAACGGAGGGUUAGGGCUCGACCCCGGAGAAGGAGCCUGAGAAACGGCUACUACAUCCAAGGAAGGCAGCAGGCGCGCAAAUUACCCAAUCCCGACACGGGGAGGUAGUGACAAUAAAUACUGAUACAGGGCUCUUUUGGGUCUUGUAAUUGGAAUGAGUACAAUUUAAAUCCCUUAACGAGGAACAAUUGGAGGGCAAGUCUGGUGCUG